RNAcentral lists this ribosomal RNA (1003 nucleotides) under Klebsiella sp. SEB008. RNAcentral's name for it is "bacterial SSU rRNA". It matches the Rfam family "Bacterial small subunit ribosomal RNA", at positions 68 to 1060 of the family's 1533-position model. The record is from RNAcentral. Lineage: Bacteria; Pseudomonadati; Pseudomonadota; Gammaproteobacteria; Enterobacterales; Enterobacteriaceae.
GGUAGCACAGAGAGCUUGCUCUCGGGUGACGAGCGGCGGACGGGUGAGUAAUGUCUGGGAAACUGCCUGAUGGAGGGGGAUAACUACUGGAAACGGUAGCUAAUACCGCAUAACGUCGCAAGACCAAAGUGGGGGACCUUCGGGCCUCAUGCCAUCAGAUGUGCCCAGAUGGGAUUAGCUGGUAGGUGGGGUAACGGCUCACCUAGGCGACGAUCCCUAGCUGGUCUGAGAGGAUGACCAGCCACACUGGAACUGAGACACGGUCCAGACUCCUACGGGAGGCAGCAGUGGGGAAUAUUGCACAAUGGGCGCAAGCCUGAUGCAGCCAUGCCGCGUGUGUGAAGAAGGCCUUCGGGUUGUAAAGCACUUUCAGCGGGGAGGAAGGCGGUGAGGUUAAUAACCUCAUCGAUUGACGUUACCCGCAGAAGAAGCACCGGCUAACUCCGUGCCAGCAGCCGCGGUAAUACGGAGGGUGCAAGCGUUAAUCGGAAUUACUGGGCGUAAAGCGCACGCAGGCGGUCUGUCAAGUCGGAUGUGAAAUCCCCGGGCUCAACCUGGGAACUGCAUUCGAAACUGGCAGGCUAGAGUCUUGUAGAGGGGGGGUAGAAUUCCAGGUGUAGCGGUGAAAUGCGUAGAGAUCUGGAGGAAUACCGGUGGCGAAGGCGGCCCCCUGGACAAAGACUGACGCUCAGGUGCGAAAGCGUGGGGAGCAAACAGGAUUAGAUACCCUGGUAGUCCACGCUGUAAACGAUGUCGAUUUGGAGGUUGUGCCCUUGAGGCGUGGCUUCCGGAGCUAACGCGUUAAAUCGACCGCCUGGGGGAGUACGGCCGCAAGGUUAAAACUCAAAUGAAUUGACGGGGGCCCGCACAAGCGGUGGAGCAUGUGGUUUAAUUCGAUGCAACGCGAAGAACCUUACCUGGUCUUGACAUCCACAGAACUUUCCAGAGAUGGAUUGGUGCCUUCGGGAACUGUGAGACAGGUGCUGCAUGGCUGUCGUCAGCU